Molecule: long non-coding RNA, 665 nt
Organism: Oncorhynchus keta (chum salmon)
Lineage: Eukaryota; Metazoa; Chordata; Actinopteri; Salmoniformes; Salmonidae
Exons: 3
Source: RefSeq, a predicted model, not a curated record
UGGUUAGAGUGUAGGGACGGCAGGUAGCCUAGUGGUUAGAGUGUAGGGACGGUAGGUAGCCUAGUGGUUAGAGUGUAGGGACGGCAGGUAGCCUAGUGGUUAGAGUGUAGGGACGGUAGGUAGCCUAGUGGUUAGAGUGUAGGGACGGCAGGUAGCCUAGUGGUUAGAGUGUAGGGACGGCAGGUAGCCUAGUGGUUAGAGUGUAGGGACGGUAGGUAGCCUAGUGGUUAGAGUGUAGGGACGGCAGGUAGCCUAGUGGUUAGAGUGUAGGGACGGUAGGUAGCCUAGUGGUUAGAGUGUAGGGACGGUAGGUAGCCUAGUGGUUAGAGUGUAGGGACGGUAGGUAGCCUAGUGGUUAGAGUGUAGGGGCGGCAGGUAGCCUAGUGGUUAGAGUGUAGGGACGGCAGGUAGCCUAGUGGUUAGAGUGUAGGGACGGUAGGUAGCCUAGUGGUUAGAGUGUAGGGGCGGCAGGUAGCCUAGUGGUUAGAGUGUAGGGGCGGCAGGUAGCCUAGUGGUUAGAGUGUAGGGGCGGCAGGUAGCCUAGUGGUUAGAGUGUAGGGACGGCAGGUAGCCUAGUGGUUAGAGUGUAGGGGCGGCAGGUAGCCUAGUGGUUAGAGUGUAGGGGCGGUAGGUAGCCUAGUGGUUAGAGUGUAGGGACGGUAGGU